UGGCUCAGAUUGAACGCUGGCGGCAGGCCUAACACAUGCAAGUCGAGCGAGAAAGGUCUUCGGACUGAGUACAGCGGCGGACGGGUGAGUAAAGCGUAGGAAUCUACCUGGUAGUGGGGGAUAACUUGGGGAAACUCAAACUAAUACCGCAUACGCCCGUACGGGGGAAAGCGGGGGACCUUCGGGCCUCGCGCUAUCAGAUGAGCCUGCGUAGGAUUAGCUAGUUGGUGAGGUAAAGGCUCACCAAGGCGACGAUCCUUAGCUGGUCUGAGAGGAUGAUCAGCCACACUGGAACUGAGACACGGUCCAGACUCCUACGGGAGGCAGCAGUAGGGAAUAUUGGGCAAUGGAGGCAACUCUGACCCAGCCAUCCCGCGUGCAGGAAUAAGGCCCUAUGGGUUGUAAACUGCUUUUAUUAGGGAAGAAAAACUUCGAUUCAUCGGAGCUUGACGGUACCUAACGAAUAAGCACCGGCUAACUCCGUG
Molecule: ribosomal RNA, 485 nt
Filed under: uncultured bacterium
Lineage: Bacteria
Description: bacterial SSU rRNA
Rfam family: Bacterial small subunit ribosomal RNA
Source: RNAcentral